Non-coding RNA from Sus scrofa (pig), 608 nucleotides. The record is from RefSeq and is a predicted model, not a curated record. NCBI's taxonomy places the organism in Eukaryota, Metazoa, Chordata, Mammalia, Artiodactyla, Suidae.
AAGCAGUUUGAGAUGCAGUCCCCACCUACACAAGUUUCCUCCAUGUUCCGCUUUUCCUAGCUGCUGUUUCUGCGCUAUAAUCUUGUCAUCCAUUUAUUCCCCCCACCAACAGUUAUUGAGCACCUACUGUGUACCCGGCUCUGUUCUGGGCUCAAGGGACACAGAAGAAAUAUAACAGAUAAAGCUCUCUGCUAUUCUGGAGCAUACAAUCCGGGGGAAGACAGAAGAGAAAAGGGACAACAACCCAGGAGGCCACUGCUGGGUGAGAUAAGUGUUGUGAAGGAGAAAGUAAACAGAAGGAUGUAAUAGGACAAGGACACUCCGCUUUGGAUAAGCCUUCAGAUGACACUGCAGCCUCAGCUGACGUGUGGAUGGCAGCCCAUGGAAGACUCUGAAGCAGAGAACCUGGUGAAGCCACGUCUAAUUCCUGACCCACAAAACUCACUAUUCACAAUAGCCAAGGCAUGGAAACAACCUAAAUGUCCAUCAACAGAAGAAUGGAUAAAGAAGAUGUGGGACAUAUAUACAAUGGAAUAUUACUCAGCCAUAAAAGGGGACUAAAUAAUGCCAUUUUCAGCAACAUAGACGGACCUAGAGAUUAUCAUCUA